ACUCCUACGGGUGGCUGCAGUGGGGAAUAUUGGACAAUGGGGGCAACCCUGAUCCAGCAAUGCCGCGUGUGUGAAGAAGGCCUUAGGGUUGUAAAGCACUUUCGUUAGUGAAGAAAGGUUUAUGGCUAAUACCUAUGAAUUUGACAUUAGCUAAAGAAGAAGCACCGGCUAACUCCGUGCCAGCAGCCGCGGUAAUACGGAGGGUGCAAGCGUUAUUCGGAAUGACUGGGCGUAAAGCGCACGCAGGCGGUUAUUUAAGUCAGAUGUGAAAGCCCCGGGCUUAACCUGGGAAUUGCAUUUGAAACUGGGUAACUAGAGUAUGUCAGAGGAAGGCGGAAUUUCCAGUGUAGCAGUGAAAUGCGUAGAGAUUGGAAGGAACACCGAUGGCGAAGGCAGCCUUCUGGGGCAAUACUGACGCUCAUGUGCGAAAGCGUGGGUAGCAAACAGGAUUAGAUACCCUGGUAGUCCACGCCCUAAACGAUGUCAACUAGGUGUUGGGCACUUAAGUGCUCGGUACCGCAGCUAACGCAUUAAGUUGACCGCCUGGGGAGUACGGCCGCAAGGUUGAAACUCAAAGAAAUUGACGGGGACCCGCACAAGCGGUGGAGCAUGUGGUUUAAUUCGAUGCAACGCGAAGAACCUUACCAGGCCUUGACAUCCAGAGAACUAAGCAGAGAUGCUAUGGUGCCUUCGGGAACUCUGAGACAGGUGAUGCAUGGUGUCGUCAGCUCGUG
RNAcentral lists this ribosomal RNA (734 nucleotides) under uncultured bacterium. RNAcentral describes it as "bacterial SSU rRNA". It matches the Rfam family "Bacterial small subunit ribosomal RNA", at positions 335 to 1064 of the family's 1533-position model. The record is from RNAcentral.